Long non-coding RNA from Aegilops tauschii subsp. strangulata, 4249 nucleotides. RefSeq lists it as uncharacterized. The record is from RefSeq and is a predicted model, not a curated record. Lineage: Eukaryota; Viridiplantae; Streptophyta; Magnoliopsida; Poales; Poaceae.
AUGGUAAAUGUUUGCAAUCGGCAAGCCGGCCGAAGCGACGCGCCGGUCGCUCGUGCGUAGUAGGAUUCAUGUGGAUCCAUCGCCGCUAGUAGCGUCAUGUCAUCCUAUGCGGGGCCCAGCCCACCGACACACAACAACCUUAUCCCCUCACGCCCAUCGUUUUCCCCCAAUUCCACCUCCCAAAAUACUCUCUCCUCACGAAUGCCGGCGAGCGGCCCUCUUCCCCCUACCGGCCGGAGCCCGGAAGCAACAUGGCCGCCGGGCGUUUGCCGCAAAUCGCGAUUUGGUUCCACCUCGUGCGCCACCACUUCUUUUUGCUGCUGCUCAUGUGCUUUUCUGCUACAGCAACCCACCAGGCUGCAGAGGUUGGACGAGACCAACGGCUGCGACGAUUUCGCCGGCGACGAUGCCCUCGUGCGCGACGGCCUCCCCACCAUGGUUCAAGCUCCAAGCCGAGCAGGGCAUAGAUUUGCUAGAACCGGGCGACGGCACAGCUGCAACCAUGUUCAAGAUUUGCUGGAAGCAUCUGCACAAAAGCUGGAACCACUGAGACGAGCUGGAACCGGGUCUGAGCGGGGUACCGGACAACAGCAAAUCGAGAUUGGAGCACACCAAAUGCCCGCUCGACAUCCUUCCUGCAAGCCUCCUGAAUCUUCACAAACCAGGCGUUCUUGCCUCCUGGUGGAGGGGCUGCCUCGGCGAACCUCUGCUAUUUUUUCGGCGGGGAAUGGCUAUCUAGCGGUGAAAGGCGGCGGCCGGCGCCGGGAUAUAGCUAGUGGCGGCCGAGGGCGCGGGGGCUGGAAGGCGAGUCGGGGAAGAAAAUCUUGACUUUUCACCUGAGGGUGUGGGCCAGCCGCGCUUUUCCCUUGCGCCGGAGCCCCCGAUCGCCCCCCAGUGCGCCGGGUUCGGCCUGCGGUCGCCGGGCGGAAAAAAGGGCCGAACCGGCGCUUUUCGUCGUCCUGAGGCGCGACAGGGGCGUUUUUUUUUGCGCCGGUGCCGAAAAAGUGGCCUGGGGGGCCUGUUAGGGGCGCGGCUGGAGAUGCUCUAAGAUAGUGCUGAGCGGCGACGGCGAUGCCCAAGGUGAUUUUUGCUGUAUUUUGCGUCCAUGGUGAUUUUUGUUCUACUUGUGUUUUUUGCUUCAAUCAACAUUUGAUUUUGCUGGAAGCGGCUAAAGCAGAGCUGGAACCUCCCUUAAGCUUUCGUUUUUAUGCAACCAUCCAGCCGAUGAGCGGCCCUGGCGAGCUGCACCUGCGAAGCCGACGAGCGCCGACGGUGAGCUGGCGAGCGGCGCCACGGAGCGUCAGGCCGGGAAGGGGUGGGGGAGGGGCGACGAGCAGCACAUGUUUCAGAGAUACUAACGCGAGGAAGUAGAGAAAAAAGACGCACACGAGGGGUGAAUCGUGCGGUAUGGGGUGCGCGUAUCGGGCGACUGGGACGUGACCGGCCGAAACUUUGGGUCGGUGCGCCGGCGCUUAUCAACGUACAUUUUCUGUUUUUUUUUUCUCUCGUCCCCGCCUAGAUCACUAAUCCUUCGUGAUCGCUAAACCACCGGCGCACGUUUUCUGUUUUUUUUUUCUCCUCUAGUUUCUUCUCCAUUGGAAAAAAACAUGCGUAAAAAGCAGGAAUUGAACGUAAGACCUCCUCUUUCAAAGCUAUCUCUGAUAGCCAACUAGACUAAUGAAUCCUAUAUGCAUAUUUACCGUUUGAAAUCUAAUUUGUAUACAUAUAACUAUGUUUGAGUUAACUGAAGCAAGACUGCUCAUGCUAGAUGUACCAGGCUAAUCGUGCUAGAUUUAUCAGGUAAUUCGCACCAAAUUUACCAGGCUAAUCAUGCUAAAAUAUCAGGUUGUUAAAAUGUUAAUGUCUAAGAUACCAUGAUUUUUCAACGUAAGUUAUCUCGUUUGUCAUUCAAAAACUAUCAUUUUAUUUAUACAAAAAUUACCGACGUAUCUUUCAACAUCUGUAUAAAUAAGUUAUCAGCUCUGCUAUGCGUAUAUUACCAUAUUAUUUACACAUAGCCUACUAGAGUAUGUUUUCAAUAACUUUUUUCAUGGGUCAAAGUUAUCAUGGUGUUUGUACCUAUAUUAUCAGAACCGAGAGCCAAAUUAUCACGCUAUUUACACAAAAGAGUUAUCAGAGUAUGUUUUCAACAACUUUUUUUCACUAGUCAAAGUUAUCGUGGUGUUUGUACCUAAGUUAUCAGGUCCGGGAUCAUAUAUUACCAUGUUAUCUAUACAGAUGUUACCGGAGUAUGUUUCCAAACAACUUUUUUAUAUGAGUCAAAGUUAUCAUGGUGUUUGUACCCAAGUUAUCAUGUCCGGGAGCAUAUGCUAUCAUGUUAUUUACACGAGAAGUUAUUAGUGGUAUGUUUUCAACAAAACAUAUUCAUGGGUCAAAAUUGUCGUAGUAUUUGUACCUAAGUUAUCAGGACCGGAAGCCUAUACUAUCAUGUUAUUUACACAAAAAAUUAUCAGAGUAUGUUUUCAACAACAAAAUCAAGGGUCAAAAUUAUCGUACUGUUUGUACCUAAGUUAUCAGGUCUGGAAGCCUAUAUUACCAUGUUAUUUACACAGAUGUUACCGAAAUAUGUUUUUUUAACAACCUUUUUCCAUGGGUCAGAGUUACCGUGGUGUUUAUACAUAAAUUAUCAAGUCCGGGGUGUAUAUUAUCAUGCUAUUUACAAACACUACAACAAAAACCCCCUUUUAGCAACGUAUGUCCAGCAACGAAAUAACAGAAUGUGUUGUUUGGCUAAACAUCCCACCAUCCCCACUUAGCACUAACCACUCCGUACCCACUUCCGUCUCUUUUGACGCUAACCUCUCGCGCACGAGUCGUUCCCCUCUUCUUCCUUUAUCCUAAGCGAGACACACCAAAGGCCAACAAAAAUUCGAGACACAACAGGCAGCCAGGGUUCCCACCACGGCCGCCGUCCCCUCGCCGUCGGUUCUUUGAGGAACCUCCGCCAACCCCUCCUCCCUCGCCACUUUCCCCGCGCGUUGUGGACACACACGGCGUCACCGCCCAUCCUCCUCGCGUUCGCGAAGGCGUCGCCGCGGCCGUUCCUCUGCUCGGCUGCAGAUGCAGAUGUCGCUGUUGUUCUGACGCAUAGCUAGGGACCACGCAAGCACGACGCACCCAUCCUCAUCGACUACAGCAGGUCUUAUUCUGUCUCUCGUGCAUCUGCAAUUCUGUAUUAGUAUCACUAAAAGAUACAGUAAUAUUCACUGCUGACUCCACCCAUCCUUGUAUUUCCUUGCCGGCGGCAUCUUACAAGCUACAACAUCGAUGGAUCACAUCCUUACUCAAACUUGUCCCUGCCCACGCAGCAGCACAAGCUAAUUUCAAACCUACUAAGAUUUCCUAUUUUAGUCACAUAACUGAAGUGAACCAUUUAACAGAUACUUAAGUUUCUCAGUGAAAUAAAUGCAGGAUCUUCUGCUCAAACAUUGAACGAAGAGAAAAGAUGGUUUCUACAGAGAGAUAACAAGUUGAUGAAUGUGUCAAGAAGAUCACUGAAUUGAGAAAUAUGGAAGUGACAAUAAUUUCGUGGUUAUCAACCAAAAGGAUAUUGAUCCUCCACCCCUCUAUCUCCAAGCUAGAGCAGGGGUCCAUGGAUCCAACUGAUUUCCAUGGAAUCUCCGCUUGUAGUUUGAGGCCUGAUCUCUGCUCGGUGUGGUGGUGCAAGAUCAUAUGGAAACCAGAGUUCCUAUUGUAGGCUCAGUCUGGCAGAUCGUGGAUUCCUUCCGGGUCGAGUCAGGGGCUAAGAGUAGGUGUGAUGACGAGCAGAAGUGGAUUAGAUAGCAUGACAAGCAGAAGUGGAUUAGAUAGUUCAUAGCGCUCUUUCCCCUUUCUGUUUCUUAGUUCAUUAUGCAUGUCUUGUUUUUAUGAAUGAGUGGAUAACUCCCACUGUCCAAAAUCUGAUGAUGCUUUUUUUCGUGUCGUUGAUUCUGCAGGCUCUGAGAUUUUUUUACAUGGAUCGAGAUAUUAUAAUGUGUGCCUUUGUAAUUCCUAGAUGACCAAGAUAAAUUGACGAUGCAUGGCUCACAUGUUGAUUGCAAGGUUAAGAAUGGAGCUACUACAAGAUAGUUAGAAUGUCAUUCUUAGGAUCAAUGUUUCAAACAUUAUAGUUGAUUGCAAGGUCAAGAAUCGGGCUAUUACUAGAUAGUUUCAUCUCUUGUAAUCUUUGGACAAUGUUCUUUGUAAUGCAAAAUGCUUGAUUUAAUAUAUGAGAUCUUUCUGUUUAUUA